RNAcentral lists this transfer RNA (74 nucleotides) under Eubacterium ruminantium. It matches the Rfam family "tRNA". Rfam says of the family: Transfer RNA (tRNA) molecules are approximately 80 nucleotides in length. Their secondary structure includes four short double-helical elements and three loops (D, anti-codon, and T loops). Lineage: Bacteria; Bacillati; Bacillota; Clostridia; Eubacteriales; Eubacteriaceae. The record is from Rfam by way of RNAcentral. RNAcentral also lists the same sequence under 3 other names.
GUAUCUAUAGCUCAGCAGGAUAGAGCGUCCGCCUCCUAAGCGGAAGGCCGGCGGUUCGAAUCCGCCUAGGUACA